AACUCGAUCUCAAAUCAAGUAAGACUACCCGCUGAACUUAAGCAUAUCAAUAAGCGGAGGAAAAGAAACUAACAAGGAUUCCCCUAGUAACGGCGAGUGAAGCGGGAUGAGCUCAAAUUUAAAAUCUGGCUGGUUUACUAGUCCGAAUUGUAGUUUAAAGAAGCGUUUUCGGUGGCAGCCUGGGUAUAAAUCCUUUGGAACAGGGUAUCAUAGAGGGUGAGAAUCCCGUCUUUGACUCAGUGCAUGCUACUAUGUGAUACGUUUUCAAAGAGUCGAGUUGUUUGGGAAUGCAGCUCAAAAUGGGUGGUAAAUUUCAUCUAAGGCUAAAUAUUGGCGAGAGACCGAUAGCGAACAAGUACCGUGAGGGAAAGAUGAAAAGAACUUUGAAAAGAGAGUUAAACAGUGCGUGAAAUUGUUGAAAGGGAAACGCUUGACACCAGUCAUGCGAGCGGAAAAUCAGUCUUUUGCAGUGGGGAGUUGUGUGGGUUCGGACCGCAAGGCCGGCCUGUGCUGCAUCUCUGCUGUAAGUGAUGCACUUUUUCGUUUGCAGGCCAACAUCAGUUUCUUCUGCUGGACAAAACUCUUGAGAAGGUAGCAGCUUUGGCUGUGUUAUAGCUCUUGAGCGAUACAGUGGAGGGGACUGAGGUUUUCGCAGCGCGUGCUCUCGGGCAAGGCUGAUUGGGUGCUAUGGGAUCGUUCGGUGUACAAUGCAUGCAUUUUGCGCCGUGUCUUUUCUAUACUCGCUCAACUCGGCUCUUCCGCGCUUAGGAUGUUGGCUUAAUGGUUUUAAUCGACCCGUCUUGAAACACGGACCAAGGAGUCUAACAUAUAUGCAAGUGU
Molecule: ribosomal RNA, 840 nt
Filed under: uncultured zygomycete
Lineage: Eukaryota; Fungi
Description: eukaryotic LSU rRNA
Rfam family: Eukaryotic large subunit ribosomal RNA
Source: RNAcentral